Molecule: ribosomal RNA, 301 nt
Filed under: uncultured bacterium
Lineage: Bacteria
Description: partial 16S ribosomal RNA
Rfam family: Bacterial small subunit ribosomal RNA
Source: RNAcentral
CAGCCGCCGCGGGAAUACGAAGGGGGCUAGCGUUGUUCGGAAUUACUGGGCGUAAAGCGCACGUAGGCGGAUAUUUAAGUCAGGGGUGAAAUCCCGCAGCUCAACUGCGGAACUGCCUUUGAUACUGGGUAUCUUGAGUAUGGAAGAGGUUAGUGGAAUUGCGAGUGUAGAGGUGAAGUUCGUAGAUAUUCGCAGGAACACCAGUGGCGAAGGCGGCUAACUGGUCCAUAACUGACGCUGAGGUGCGAAAGCGUGGGGAGCAAACAGGAUUAGAUACCCCGUAGUCCCUGUCUCUUAUACC